This 484-nucleotide ribosomal RNA is filed under the name uncultured bacterium. RNAcentral's name for it is "partial 16S ribosomal RNA". It matches the Rfam family "Bacterial small subunit ribosomal RNA", at positions 30 to 507 of the family's 1533-position model. The record is from RNAcentral.
AUUGAACGCUGGCGGCAGGCCUAACACAUGCAAGUCGAGCGGAUGAGGGGAGCUUGCUCCUGGAUUCAGCGGCGGACGGGUGAGUAAUGCCUAGGAAUCUGCCUGGCUGUGGGGGAUAACGUCCGGAAACGGGCGCUAAUACCGCAUACGUCCUGAGGGUGAAAGUGGGGGAUCUUCGGACCUCACGCUAUCAGAUGAGCCUAGGUCGGAUUAGCUAGUUGGUGGGGUAAAGGCCUACCAAGGCGACGAUCCGUAACUGGUCUGAGAGGAUGAUCAGUCACACUGGAACUGAGACACGGUCCAGACUCCUACGGGAGGCAGCAGUGGGGAAUAUUGGACAAUGGGCGAAAGCCUGAUCCAGCCAUGCCGCGUGUGUGAAGAAGGUCUUCGGAUUGUAAAGCACUUUAAGUUGGGAGGAAGGGCAGUAAGUUAAUACCUUGCUGUUUUGACGUUACCAACAGAAUAAGCACCGGCUAACUUCGUG